CACGUAGGGUGCGAGCGUUGUCCGGAAUUAUUGGGCGUAAAGAGCUCGUAGGCGGUGUGUCGCGUCGGCCGUGAAAACCUGCAGCUUAACUGUGGGCUUGCGGUCGAUACGGGCAUCACUGGAGUUCGGCAGGGGAGACUGGAAUUCCUGGUGUAGCGGUGAAAUGCGCAGAUAUCAGGAGGAACACCGGUGGCGAAGGCGAGUCCCUGGACAACUCCUGACGCUGAGGCACGAAAGCUAGGGGAGCAAACAGG
Molecule: ribosomal RNA, 254 nt
Filed under: uncultured bacterium
Lineage: Bacteria
Description: partial 16S ribosomal RNA
Rfam family: Bacterial small subunit ribosomal RNA
Source: RNAcentral